CCGCCCGUCACAUCACGAAAGUGGACUGUACUAGAAGUCGGUGCGCUAACCCGCAAGGGAGGCAGCCGCCCAAGGCAUAGUUCAUGAUUGGGGUG
Molecule: ribosomal RNA, 95 nt
Filed under: uncultured bacterium
Lineage: Bacteria
Description: partial 16S ribosomal RNA
Rfam family: Bacterial small subunit ribosomal RNA
Source: RNAcentral